CCACCCCCCCCUUUUUUUGGGGGGGGAAACCCCCCCCUCGAGAGCUUGCACUUGGUGGCGAGUGUUUUAACGGGGGAGGAAAACCCCCGGAAAAAAGAAACUAAAGUGGGGGAUAACGCAUCGAAAGAUGUGCUAAUACCGCAUAAACUCUACGGAGCAAAGUAGGGGAUCGAAAGACCUUGCGCUUUUGGAGCGGACGAUAUCUGAUUAGCUAGUUGGUAAGGUAAAAGCUUACCAAGGCGACGAUCAGUAGCCGGCCUGAGAGGACGACCAAACACACUGGGCCUGUUUUACGGCCCAGACUCCUACGGGAGGCAGCAGUGGGGAAUUUUGGACAAUGGGCGAAAGCCUGACCCAGCAAUGCCGCGUGAGUGAAGAAGGCCUUCCGGGUUGUCAAGCUCUUCUCACUCGAGAAGAAACGAUCAUGACUAAUAAUGAUGAUUAAUGACUGUAUCGAUAGAAGAAGCACCGGCUAUCUACGUGCCAGCAGCCGCGGCAAACCGUAGGCUGCCAGCCGCUAAUCGGAACUACUGGGCCGAAAAGCGAGCGCAGGCGGUUCCGUAAGACAGGCGGGACAUCCCCGGCU
Molecule: ribosomal RNA, 586 nt
Filed under: uncultured bacterium
Lineage: Bacteria
Description: partial 16S ribosomal RNA
Rfam family: Bacterial small subunit ribosomal RNA
Source: RNAcentral